CCUACGGGGGGCAGCAGUGGGGAAUAUUGCACAAUGGGGGAAAGCCUGAUGCAGCAACGCCGCGUGAGCGAUGAAGGCCUUCGGGUCGUAAAGCUCUAUCCUCAAGGAAGAUAAUGACGGUACUUGAGGAGGAAGCCCCGGCUAACUACGUGCCAGCAGCCGCGGUAAUACGUAGGGGGCUAGCGUUAUCCGGAUUUACUGGGGGAAAAGGGUGCGUAGGUGGUUUCUUAAGUCAGAGGUAAAAGCCUAGGGAUCAACCGUGGUAAGCCUUUGAAACUGGGGAGCUUGAGUGCAGGAGAGGAAAGCGGAAUUCCUAGUGUAGCGGUGAAAUGCGUAGAUAUUAGGAGGAACACCAGUUGCGAAGGCGGCUCUCUGGACUGUAACUGACACUGAGGCACGAAAGCGUGGGGAGCAAACAGGAUUAGAUACCCUUGUAGUC
RNAcentral lists this ribosomal RNA (439 nucleotides) under uncultured bacterium. RNAcentral describes it as "partial 16S ribosomal RNA". It matches the Rfam family "Bacterial small subunit ribosomal RNA", at positions 338 to 795 of the family's 1533-position model. The record is from RNAcentral.